UCUUUUCCGCGCUACCUGCAGAGGGGUCCAUACGGCGUUGUUCUGGGUGAGUUCCGUGUAGCGUCCCUGGCGCCUUCCAGGGCUAGAAAAAUGAGCUUUUCCUGCUCAAAUGAAGGAUUCCCGUCGUAACUUAAAGGGAAACUUUCACAAUGUCCGGAGCCCUUGAUGUCCUGCAAAUGAAGGAGGAGGAUGUCCUUAAGUUCCUUGCAGCAGGAACCCACUUAGGUGGCACCAAUCUUGACUUCCAGAUGGAACAGUACAUCUAUAAAAGGAAAAGUGAUGGUUAGUCAUUGCUUUAAUUUUUUGUUACUCCAGCUGUAAGUACAAAUUUUGAGCUUGCUAUUCUCGUGGUUAGUUCUGGGUAAUUUCUUUCUAUCUUCCUUAAAUGAAGCCAGACCCCUACGUUGAAAACAUACUUUAAAUAAAUGUUCUUGUUAUUGGGAGAAAAGAUUUCUGCUCCAGGGGAGGAAUAUGUCAGUUGUCUGAGUUACGGGACUUGGGUUGGGUCAUGAACAUGAGAAAGUUCAUUGGCUGAGUUUCUAAUAGCUCGCAUAGUGCCUUCAACUUCAUAG
This 572-nucleotide small RNA is filed under the name Pan troglodytes (chimpanzee). RNAcentral's name for it is "retained intron". Lineage: Eukaryota; Metazoa; Chordata; Mammalia; Primates; Hominidae. The record is from RNAcentral.